RNAcentral lists this long non-coding RNA (1869 nucleotides) under Mytilus galloprovincialis (Mediterranean mussel). Lineage: Eukaryota; Metazoa; Mollusca; Bivalvia; Mytilida; Mytilidae. The record is from RNAcentral.
AUUUUGUUAAGGUUGUAUUUUCUAUUGUGAUUGAAGUAUGAAGGAAGCCAGAAGUUGUACAAUCAUAUGUCUUUUGACACUUACAUUUGUAUUGUAAGAAAAACAUUGGUUUCUAAGGAUUUUUUUUAUAGAUUUUACAUAGUAUUGUCAGUAAAUUUAUGUGAUUGUUUAUUUAUGAUCUUGCCAGUUAAUCCAUAUAGAUGUACUUCUAUGCAGAUAUAUUUAACAAAACCUUAAGCUGAUGUAAACUUUUCUCAACUAGCUUGGUUUUUUAUUGUCAAUUUCUUAUUUGUUCACUGAUUGGUACAAUUUCAAAUUUCCCUCCAAUUAUCUCUUUGGAACUGUAAUAGCAGGACAAAUUUGACCAAGUUAUAUAACACCACUAACAGAUUAUUUUACAAACCACUAGAAAACAAGGUCACAUGAAGGUCAAACUUGCUCAUAGUUCUCAACAAACAUUGUACGUUGGCAUAUACUGGCUGUAUUUUUAUACAUUUAAUAUUGUAUAGUUUUACUAUAGAUAUUGGAGGACUUACAGAUGAUAGAUCAAAUUGUAAAUUUGUACAAAGAUAAAAAAAUCUUGACUAUUUCAAUAUUUCACAUUAAGUUAUCAUCUAUCCUUAUUUUCUCUAAGAAUAUUAGUUUAAUUGAACGUAGCUAAAUAAACCAUCACAAUAAUGAAGAUUAUUAUUUGAUCCUGAAGCCAUCAUCAUCAAUUAUCUAAUAUAAGUUUAUAUAAGAAUAUUUUUUUGAUAUAAAAGUAUCCAAAUUAUUCCUAAAUUAUUUACUGAUCAACAUGUGAAAAGGUCAUAGCUAGUGUUUUGAGGGACUUAUAGCUGGUGAUUUGAGGGACUAUAACAAUUUUGUUAUGUGUGUUGUAUUUUUUAUUAAACAUUUACAUUAUUAAGAUCUGAUUAUGUGUACAUAUAUGAAUUGGUUUCUGUCAUAUUGAAAAACAAUAUUUAUUGAAGUUUUUGUAUACUGUUGGUUAAAUAUAUAUAAGUACUAUUUUAUGUAAAUUAAUCGUAGAUAAGAGAGUGUGUUACUAAGCAAUAAUAGUCUGCAAUAACUGCUGAGUGUACAUAUAUAUUUGUAGAUAUAAUUUAUAUUUUUGAUACUUUUGUUUGUAAUAUAACUUGUUAACAUUUAAACCUAAAUCCAUUGCAUGGUUGAAGUAAUGGUGGGACUCCAUAUUAUCCUCAAUUUAACUAGUAUAAAUGUUCAACCUUAUUGGAAGCUUACAUUUUGAAGUUCAAAGGAUUUUGAUGUAAUAUUUUAUUUUCGAUACUUUAUUUAGGAUUGAUAUUCAAUAAUAUGUGAAUUGAAUGAAAAUUCAUCUAGAAAUAAAGAUAAAAGAACAUCAUUUUAUCAUUUUUUUUAUGUUUUAUGUUUUAUUAGCAUAAACUUUUUUAACAAGGCUACAUUUAUAAAGUCUGACAGUACAGUUUAUUUUGAGAAAUGAGAACACAUGUUAUCAUAACUUUUGGAUAUCCUGGGCAGUUGUAGUUUGGAAAUUUGAACACAUCAUUUAACUUGUGAGUAAAUGAACAAAUGAUUGUUUUCCUACAUGGAAUUUACAGAAUAAUAAAUAUAUGUAAUAUUUACAAAUAGAUUUUUGUUAUUUUUAUUGCAACAUAUUGUUAUUUUGGUUUACAUGAAAAGUUGACCAGUUCUGUGAAUGUAUGAUUUUAUCUAAAAACAGAUAGGUCAUGUAAGUGUUAUAACACCAAACAUAGUAAGUCACAUUUGGUUUCAUAUGAAAAAGGCUAAAAAAAAAAUAUUAACUUGAAUUUAUAUCCAGUGUAAUGUUAUGUGAAAUUUUCACUAUAGUACUGGAGAGGAUAAAUUUUAAUUAAUGCCAAGUGUUUU